UCCUGCAGUGCUUGAACGGCUUGAAUCCCAUCACCAUUUUGAUUGUUCUCCAUUGUUCCUAUACGAAAAAAAAAAACAUUGUUCCUAUACGAAAAACAACAUAUCAAUUCAGAAUAAAGGAUACUGCAAUUAUAAUACAUAAUUUGGAAACAUCAACACAUCAACUUGACAGAAAUACAAUCGUCACCCUAACAUCAAAACAUCAACCUUUAUAUCAUCAUAAGAACAGAAGUCACCAAGGAUGCUUGACAGAACUCUUCUGAUGAUGAAAGCCUGACUCGAUGAUUCGAUUGUGAAGGAGAAUAGAGCAUAGAGGAGGGUGCUCGCAUGGGUUGUCGAAGGCCAUAUUUAUAGCCUAUGUUAGGGUUAAAAGCCCUAAAUCCAGCCAUGCAAGCAUAUAAACACUGAACCUGAUUCUCCCAAAGCCACACCAAACGAAAAAAUCGAAGAGUUUUUUCGGAAUUAUGAUUUUCAUUGGGCAGAUUGAAGGAGAGAUUGAAGGAUUGAAGAUUGAUCGACGUUUAGGGAUGGGGAAAGACGAAAUGAAAUCAAUGCGUUCGUGAGAGAGAAAGUUUUGGGGAAAGAUUCUGUGAAUUGAAGGACAGAUGAUGCAGAUUUUGAUUCAAUUGGGGAAAUUUUUUUUUUGAAGAGUUGUUAUCCGGAUGAGGACGAGAUGGAUAGUCUGAAAUCCGACUCCGACCCAUCCCCGUUUAAUCACCACUUCCGAGUUUGCCUGAUCCCGUCCGAAAUCCAAAUCAAAUGGGUUUUUUAAUGAGUUUGACUGGACGGGUCCGAAUAAAACCCGAUUCAAUAAUUUAAAAUGCCAAGCCUAGCUGAAAUCACAAAACACCCAAAUCUGAAAUCUCAUUUCCCCUAGUUUCCCCCUUUUAUUCUCACAUUUAGGUUAAAGUGAACAAUUGAUUCGGCGACGGUGCGGGAUGAGCUCGAUCUAUCUCAGCGACUUGGUGCUCGGCGACGGAUCAGACAGUGCUGGAAAUCAAGGAUGCGGGAGAGGAGAUACAAGGUUUGGAGUAGCGGUGACAGAUGAUGGUGGAUUGAAUACAGCCAAUCAAGGAAUCGAAGAGGAGGAGACCGCCUCGGAGUCCGACACUGGAUUCGAGAGGAGCCUGCAACAAAGAAUACCGAUUUGACGAAGGAGAGCAGCAACGGAGGAUUCUAUUCAGGCCUCUGUUUCAGACUUGUUGGGUUAAGUCGCUCCAAGUCGGAGGGCCAUGGCUAUACUGAUAGCGAGGCGUGCCUGUGGAUCUCCCAAGAAGCUGUCUCUAUGAGCUGGAUCGUCGGAUUUUGAGGACCCAGGUGGAGUUGGAGGCAUAGCAGAAAACAGAGGAGGUGGCGGCGCCGACUUGGAAUCAGGGUCGGCGUACGGAACCAACUCAACAGAAAACUAGAAAAGAAGAAGAGUCUGGUGAUAUCAUUAUUAUUAUGGUAUCCUUGUUACAGAGUCGGUCAAAGUCGAUUUAUAGGUUUAACCGACCGGUCGGUCGGUUAAUAAUUGAUUAUUUAACCGAUUGGUCGGUUAUCGAUCCGCUAUUUAACGUUGUAUAUGGUCGGUUUGUUAAACCGGUUAACCAAUUUUAAUUUUCAAAUCAUUUUCUUUGACCAUUAACCGACGGUUAAUAACCAAAUCAACCUAAUCUCAGGCCUAGGUCUUGUAGCUAGGAGCGUCAGAGUUGGCCACCUCCUCUCGUUAAGAUCAAGAUUUAGGUUUCGGGACGGAACCUUUUAUAGUAAGGGACCAUUGUGGUUCAUCGAUUUCUGGUUGUCAUUGGUACUACAUUGAGCUUGUGGGUUUUAGAGUCGAGAUGUUAGGAGAGACCUGAGGCUACCACGAACGUGACCAAUUACUGAACAUGGGUGUGCUGAAGGCUGAUCACGAUCGUGACCAGUAAGUGACCAAGGGCGUGAUAAGCUUUGAGCACGGGCAUGGUGAAGAGUGUAUAUAAACUUCGACGACUUCCUCGGUUCAGACCCUUCAGAAAAGCGACCAGAUGUGGAUGUUCAUUUUAAGUUUUUGCCUUUAUCAAAGUAGAACUGUAGAUACAUUUAAGGAACCUUUUAUUUGAAUUCUUUUGUGAUGAUUGUUGGUGUGGAGCAAGGGCUCUCAAGGCUAUAUAGUUGCGUGUGAUCUACUAAACAAAAGAUGUAAUGAUGUUGAGCAUAAAGCUCUUAUGGACUAAGCAGUGGCGUGAUUCAUUGUUUAGAAUAAGAUCAGAUAGGUUUAGAUAGAUUAGAUGUUGUUAUUAUGAAUGCUCGGUCACCCACCCCUGGAUUGCGCAAUUCCUUAGGAAUGUAAUGGAAAGGUUAAGGAUGUAUAGAGUAUGUCUACAAAUGCUGCUCACACGGUUUAGGAUGGUUUGAUAGUGUUAUCACUACGAGGCUAUCCGCAUAAUAUUAGGGGUGGCUGAUGAUAGGUAGUAUGAUUACCAACCUAUAGGGUCACAUUACUAGUAUAGACUUGGGUAGCUGAUGUGUUAUCUUCUAUGAUGCUUCCCUUUUCUAUUAUCGGACACAAUUCCGCCUUGGUUGAGAUUUAGUCACUUAGUGAUUAUCAGUGGCCCCGUUUGGUUAUUGUCUUUCUGUAUGUAUAUCUGUGUUCAGUCAUAUGUAGUAGAGCUGCAAGUGGCUAUCGGCUUUUGAUGUAUUUAAGAAAAUGGAGUUAUAUGUCCUCUUUCUUUAGUGAGUUAUAUUGUAGGCUCUGAGAUCCAUGUUUUGUCCGAUUUCCAAAGGUUCAAUAAAGGUUUAUAUUAUUCUCUUAAAGCCGUGUUGAUGUGUAAUUAUUAAUAGAUAAAUGGUUAAGCGGAUUUUGUUGGAACCCGAAUAUCUUGCAUGGGUUGACCAUUGAUUCGACCGGAGUCUCCUAAGAUCGGAUUUCACAUGUACUGCCAUCAGGAACUUCAUGCUCAUCAUCAUCAUCACAUUAUGUACAUCAGAUGUCAAGCAAUAGUACAACCAUCAAGAUCUAUGAAGUAGUCCAUUUAAUAAUUUUGCUAAGUUGUUUGCAAAUUAACAAAAGGAAUCAAAUAGAAUGAAAUUUUCAUGAUCGUUGUUCAUGGUAAUGCUUACUAGUUAUAAUCUAAUCCGUUGAAGCAAAGCAGCUGUCGAUUUGACUCGACGAGAUCCUCGAAUUAAUGCUGUGAAUAGAAAAAAAACAAACAACUAUAAACCUUUCAUACUAUGAAAACAAAUCAAAAGUCUCUGUAAAACUGCACAUAUCGAUUAGCUUAGCUCAACUUUUUGAUACAUACCACCUACUACUAACUACUUUCCUUCUUAAAUUUUCUGAUAUGAAACUUUUAGAACCUUAAUUCACACAAAUUGAUUAUGAAAACCCUUGAGCACAUUGUCAGUUACCCUGAAAUAGAGAGAGAGAGAGUCAACAAGCUUGUUAAGAACAAGCUUAUUAAAGCAUGAAGAAGAGAACACUGAACGUAGAGGUAUGGAGGUUGGUAAACUAAACAAUUAACAAGCUUAUUAAAACCUGAAGAAGAGAACAAAUUCGUACAGGUUGGUACACUAAACAAUGAACGCAAAUGCAAGGCUAGCUUCAAUGAUAUGGAAAGUACAGAGAAGAGAACAAGGAUGAAUUGAUUACCUGGGCAUGGUGGUGAACAGAUCGGCAGCAGAAACCGGUAGAGAUUACACUGGUACCGACGGGGAGCUCGAAGGAGGAAGAACAAGUUUGAUUUACGGCCUUGACAUCGCUGCCGACAGAAGCUCGAAGGAGGAAGAAGAACUCGGAUUUGCACAGAUUUGGCCGCACUGGUGGUGGUUUGGAUUCAGCUGGACUAACCGGUGGUGCUUGGAUUCGUGGGUGGUGGUGGUUUGGACUCAAACGACGAUCGGUGCUCGUUUGAGGCGACGACGGUAAUGGUGGCUGGAGGUCUAAGUAUUGGUGGUGGUGGUUGCAAUAAUCGUCUGGAGAUGAUAAGGUAGAUUAAAUUAUUUAGGUUCCCGUUCUCGCAUUUGUCAUUCUAAUGGUUUUUUUGCGCUUAUUCAAAUUGAAUCCGUGCUUAUUCUCUCCCCCC
RNAcentral lists this long non-coding RNA (4046 nucleotides) under Linum usitatissimum (flax). RNAcentral describes it as "long non-coding RNA (LUSI_LNC005222)". Lineage: Eukaryota; Viridiplantae; Streptophyta; Magnoliopsida; Malpighiales; Linaceae. The record is from RNAcentral.